GCUGGGCAGGGUGGUGCACGCCUGUAAUCCCAUAUCUUAGGAGGCUGAGACAGGAGAAAUUCGAGUUUGAAGCUAGCAUCAGCAAUAGCGAGGUGCUAAGCAACUCAUUUGGACCCUGUCUAUA
Molecule: small RNA, 124 nt
Filed under: Marmota monax (woodchuck)
Lineage: Eukaryota; Metazoa; Chordata; Mammalia; Rodentia; Sciuridae
Source: RNAcentral